GGGUCAUUGCGGUAGAGCUAGCUCUUGC
This 28-nucleotide non-coding RNA is filed under the name Cricetulus griseus (Chinese hamster). Lineage: Eukaryota; Metazoa; Chordata; Mammalia; Rodentia; Cricetidae. The record is from RNAcentral.